This 577-nucleotide ribosomal RNA is filed under the name uncultured rumen bacterium. RNAcentral's name for it is "bacterial SSU rRNA". It matches the Rfam family "Bacterial small subunit ribosomal RNA", at positions 196 to 773 of the family's 1533-position model. The record is from RNAcentral.
CCUGUUAAUAGAUUUAUCGCUAUCGGAUUGGCUCGCGUACCAUUAGCUAGUUGGCGGGGUAACGGCCCACCAAGGCGACGAUGGUUAGGGGUUCUGAGAGGAAGGUCCCCCACAUUGGAACUGAGACACGGUCCAGACUCCUACGGGAGGCAGCAGUGAGGAAUAUUGGACAAUGGCCGGAAGGCUGAUCCAGCCAUGCCGCGUGCGGGAAGACGGCCCUAUGGGUUGUAAACCGCUUUUGUUGGGGAGCAAUAAGGUCCACGAGUGGAUUGAUGAGAGUACCCAGCGAAUAAGCAUCGGCUAACUCCGUGCCAGCAGCCGCGGUAAUACGGAGGAUGCAAGCGUUAUCCGGAUUUAUUGGGUUUAAAGGGUGCGUAGGCGGAUGCUUAAGCGUGAGGUGAAAUGCCCGGGCUCAACCUGGGAACUGCCUCGCGAACUGGGUAUCUGGAAUGUCCGUGCCGUGGGAGGAAUGUGUGGUGUAGCGGUGAAAUGCAUAGAGAUCACACAGAACACCGAUUGCGAAGGCAUCUCACGAACGGAUGAUUGACGCUGAGGCACGAAAGCGUGGGGAUCAAAC